GAGUUUGAUCGUGGCUCAGGACGAACGCUGGCGGCGGGCCUAACACAUGCAAGUCGAACGGUAACAGGAAACAGCUUGCUGUUUCGCUGACGAGUGGCGGACGGGUGAGUAAUGUCUGGGAAACUGCCUGAUGGAGGGGGAUAACUACUGGAAACGGUAGCUAAUACCGCAUAACGUCGCAAGACCAAAGAGGGGACCUUCGGGCCUCUUGCCAUCGGAUGUGCCCAGAUGGGAUUAGCUUGUUGGUGGGUAACGGCUCACCAAGGCGACGAUCCCUAGCUGGUCUGAGAGGAUGACCAGCCACACUGGAACUGAGACACGGU
Molecule: ribosomal RNA, 323 nt
Filed under: uncultured bacterium
Lineage: Bacteria
Description: bacterial SSU rRNA
Rfam family: Bacterial small subunit ribosomal RNA
Source: RNAcentral